CGCAAUAGUGGUUCGCCCCUCA
Molecule: microRNA, 22 nt
Filed under: Ananas comosus (pineapple)
Lineage: Eukaryota; Viridiplantae; Streptophyta; Magnoliopsida; Poales; Bromeliaceae
Description: microRNA s0041_c033
Source: RNAcentral